AGAGCGAACGCUGGCGGCAGGCCUAACACAUGCAAGUCGAACGCCCCUUCGGGGGAGUGGCGGACGGGUGAGUAACGCGUGGGAAUGUGCCCUUUGGUACGGAACAACUGCGGGAAACUUCAGCUAAUACCGUAUGUGCCCUUCGGGGGAAAGAUUUAUCGCCAUUGGAGCAGCCCGCGUUGGAUUAGGUAGUUGGUGGGGUAAAGGCCUACCAAGCCUACGAUCCAUAGCUGGUCUGAGAGGAUGAUCAGCCACACUGGGACUGAGACACGGCCCAGACUCCUACGGGAGGCAGCAGUGGGGAAUCUUGCGCAAUGGGCGAAAGCCUGACGCAGCCAUGCCGCGUGUAUGAUGAAGGUCUUAGGAUUGUAAAAUACUUUCACCGGGGAAGAUAAUGACGGUACCGGAGAAGAAGCCCCGGCUAACUUCGUGCCAGCAGCCGC
Molecule: ribosomal RNA, 443 nt
Filed under: uncultured bacterium
Lineage: Bacteria
Description: SSU rRNA
Rfam family: Bacterial small subunit ribosomal RNA
Source: RNAcentral